UACAGAGGGUGCAAGCGUUAAUCGGAAUUACUGGGCGUAAAGGGCCUGUAGGUGGUUUCUUAAGUUAGAUGUGAAAGCCCUGGGCUCAACCUGGGAACUGCAUCUAAAACUGGGGAACUAGAGUAUGGUAGAGGGAAGUGGAAUUUCUAGUGUAGCGGUGAAAUGCGUAGAUAUUAGAAAGAACACCAGUGGCGAAGGCGACUUCCUGGACCAAUACUGACACUGAGGGGCGAAAGCGUGGGGAGCAAACAGG
RNAcentral lists this ribosomal RNA (253 nucleotides) under uncultured bacterium. Its description in RNAcentral is "partial 16S ribosomal RNA". It matches the Rfam family "Bacterial small subunit ribosomal RNA", at positions 524 to 776 of the family's 1533-position model. The record is from RNAcentral.